Molecule: small nucleolar RNA, 119 nt
Filed under: Echinops telfairi (small Madagascar hedgehog)
Lineage: Eukaryota; Metazoa; Chordata; Mammalia; Afrosoricida; Tenrecidae
Description: Small nucleolar RNA SNORA61 (ENSETEG00000026482.1)
Source: RNAcentral
CCCCUUCAAACUCCUUACCUGUCAGAACUAAACACUGGUCUUAGUGGAUAUAAAAGAGGAAAAGUAAAGUUGGAACUCACUAACUUAUUUUGGGAACCACAAACUAGUUUAAACCAUCU